RNAcentral lists this ribosomal RNA (470 nucleotides) under Burkholderia sp. CEL6CBBBA. Its description in RNAcentral is "bacterial SSU rRNA". It matches the Rfam family "Bacterial small subunit ribosomal RNA", at positions 18 to 483 of the family's 1533-position model. Lineage: Bacteria; Pseudomonadati; Pseudomonadota; Betaproteobacteria; Burkholderiales; Burkholderiaceae. The record is from RNAcentral.
CCUGGCUCAGAUUGAACGCUGGCGGCAUGCCUUACACAUGCAAGUCGAACGGCAGCACGGGGGCAACCCUGGUGGCGAGUGGCGAACGGGUGAGUAAUACAUCGGAACGUGUCCUGUAGUGGGGGAUAGCCCGGCGAAAGCCGGAUUAAUACCGCAUACGCUCUACGGAGGAAAGGGGGGGAUCUUAGGACCUCUCGCUACAGGGGCGGCCGAUGGCAGAUUAGCUAGUUGGUGGGGUAAAGGCCUACCAAGGCGACGAUCUGUAGCUGGUCUGAGAGGACGACCAGCCACACUGGGACUGAGACACGGCCCAGACUCCUACGGGAGGCAGCAGUGGGGAAUUUUGGACAAUGGGCGCAAGCCUGAUCCAGCAAUGCCGCGUGUGUGAAGAAGGCCUUCGGGUUGUAAAGCACUUUUGUCCGGAAAGAAAACGCUCUGGUUAAUACCCGGGGCGGAUGACGGUACCGGAA